AGGUGAAGUCACUCGACCUGGGG
RNAcentral lists this non-coding RNA (23 nucleotides) under Arabidopsis thaliana (thale cress). The record is from RNAcentral. Lineage: Eukaryota; Viridiplantae; Streptophyta; Magnoliopsida; Brassicales; Brassicaceae.